RNAcentral lists this ribosomal RNA (404 nucleotides) under uncultured bacterium. RNAcentral describes it as "partial 16S ribosomal RNA". It matches the Rfam family "Bacterial small subunit ribosomal RNA", at positions 28 to 526 of the family's 1533-position model. The record is from RNAcentral.
GACGAACGCUGGCGGCGUGCUUAACACAUGCAAGUCGAGCGGAGCGGCGAACGGGUGAGUAACGCGGGAGUAUCUGCCCCCCUCCCUGUGAUAACAGUUGGAAACGGCUGCUAAUACCGGAUAGUGUGGGAUGACUCGCGGCCUAUCAGCUUGUUGGUUGGGUAGUGGACUACCACGGCGACGCAGGGUAGCCGGCCUGGGAGGUCGAACGGCCACAUUAGGCUGAGAGACGGCCCAAAGUCCUACGGGGGGCAGCAGUGGAGAAUAUGGCACAAUGGGGGAAACCCUGAUGCAGCAACGCGCGGGCGGGAUGACGGCCUUCGGGUUGUAAACCGCUUUCAGCCAUGACGCGGUAGUGGCAGAAGAAGCACCGGCUAACUACGUGCCAGCAGCCGCGGUAAUAC